UUUUUUAUUUUUUCCCCAACAUUUAAGAAAUGUAAAUCAUUCUUAGCUCAGGAGCUAUAUAGAUGGUGAGCCAGAUUUGGCCUGUGGGCUGCAGCUUGCAGAUCCCCUGGUCCAGAACAGUCAGUGGAAAGGGUGACCUCCUUGAUUUAAAAUCUCAGGAAGUCCCUGAUUUCAGAAGAAAAGUUUUCAUUUUCUAUGGGUCUUGUAAUAGAGAGACAUUUGCAUAUGAUGUAUCAAUCAUAUAUCUUUGCUCUGGUUCGUUUUCUUGAUGUACAUACUCUCCCAUCAAAAUCCUCAAUCCUGUAUUGUUUUCAUGAACAAAAUAAAGGGCAUUUUAAAAUAAAAUUCUACCCAAGGAGGGGAGCCUGGGUGGCUCAGUCAGUUGAGUAUCUGCCUUCUGCUCAGGUCAUGAUCCCAGGUUCCUGGGAUGGAGCCCCACAACCCUCAUGGCAUUGGGCUCUCUGCUCAGCAGGGAGCCUGCUUCUCCCUCUCCUUCUAUUUAUUGCUCCACCUGCUUCUGCUUGCUCGCACUCUCUCUCUCUCUCUGUCAAAUAAAUGAAUAAAAUCUUUAAAAAAAUUCCACAAGGAAUCAAGUUUUUUGAAAAAAAUGAUAUUUAGGGGGAAAAAAUCUCCCAGUAACGCUAUCUCAAAAUGUCUCAUUUGUUUUCUUCCCAGGUUGUUACAUUUUUCAUUGUAAUUGAGCCCUUCAUUAGGUACUUCUAACAAUUUACUGUAUGGAAAACUCCCCAAGACCACCUCUUCCAGAUAUGUGCCCAUCUAGAUAUUUGAGUUCCAUUGCCAAGAAGCAUCAUAAAGGUUUUCCUCGAGACAUUUGUGUACAAAUCCCAAAGGAGGAGGAGGAGAGGGGAGGAAGAGAACAGAGUGACAUGGGGAGGACCUGUCCCAAGCAGCUGCUGCUGGCCCGUCUAGUAUCCGGGGGCUCCACAGGCAAACACAAGGCCACCCAGAUGCAGCCAUGGCCAAGUGCAAAAGUGCAACAUCUCCCAUCAGUGUGACAACUGAUGUCCCUGCCUUCCAGCUGAUGGAAAAUUCCUGGAGAAAGGGAAAAAAGGAAAGGAGCCUGUUGGGAUGGGGAAGGGGCGGGGUUGAGUUAGGGAUCUGAGUGGUGCAGGUUAGUUCCGCCCACUUUCAAUCACCCUCACCUGGACCCUCUAUAGAGAGCUCAGGUAGAGAAGCUUCCACUGCAGGAUGAGGACCCAGAGGACUGCAGCAUGUAGCUCAUUCACUCUUUGGAGCAUUUGAUCUCAGAUAUCUCUAAAGGAAAGAAAACAAAUGCAUGCUCCCUGUUUUUCUCCAGGACCAUUUUUUGUUUGUUUGUUUUUAAACUUAAGCCACUGCUGUGGCUUUUCUCUGCUCAGGAUUCUUUCUGAAGCCAAGUCCUUUGGCUGUUGAAACCAUGCAUCUUCCUCACACUUAGGUUAAGAUCAGGACAAAACAGUCCUAAUUCUAGAACGUGUCAGCCAGAAUCAGACCAUCACAAACCAAUCACCCAAGACUGCUCCCUGCUCCCAAUACUUGAGAUUAUUUUUCCAUGAUGUAAUAAACCUUUUAGAUCCUCUUGAAAGAAAAAUCACCAGCAAGUACAUCUCUCUGCCUAGAGAUCCUUGCGAACCAGAAAGUUGUUGAAAAGGUUUUUCAGACCAGAAGCAUUAGUUAUGGAUGUUGUCAUUGUUGUUCCUUGCAAGGAAGAGAAUAAAAGUGUAAUCAUACUAGGUCAUGUGUAAGUUUAUGCUGUUUUUACUGGCUCUUAACCCUUUUCCUUCCAGGAAUUGUUAAGUUCCUUUGCAGUGAUAGAUCAGUUCUUGGGUACAUUCUCACCAAGGGUGACCGUUUGACGGUAAGGUCCCUCAGUAGACCAACAGAAAAGAAGUCGGGUCACAUAACGGACUCCCUGGAAAUUACGUAAGAGAAAUAAAUACCCUGGUAUUUGCCCAGAGAGGAAAUUAGGAAAUUCACUUCGAGCAUGAACUCAUAGACUCUCUCAAACUCUCCUGUGAGAAAAAGUCUUCUUGGUCUGAGGGGGUCUUCAGUGGAGUUGGGGGGGCUUGUAGGAGAGACCUCCAGUCCCUAUGUUGCUUGCAACAGGGCUGCAGGGCAGGCUGCCUUCCUUGCCGUGGAGACUCCGAAGAGGGUUCAGGAGACAGGAGAAAGAACAGGACACCUGUCUGUGGCAGGAAGGGGGGGGUGGGUUCCUUUUUACCCCUGUUCUUUCUUUCAUUUUUGGGCUUUGUGUCAUGGCCUUCAAGUCAAUUUACAGAGAAAUGCUUGUGGGAAAAAAAAAAAAAACAAUUUCAAAAACGGUUUUUAUAUUUUAUUUUUAUUUUAUGCCGACUGGACUAUUUUGCCUGCAGGGUAUGGGUUGGUUUUAUAUUAAGUGUGCUUGAUGCUUUUCCGGCAAGUUGCUUUGAUAGGCUGUGCUUUUGUAAUGGAGCCUGUGGAGCUGGAAUCAUGCAGAUCCUGAACUGCAUUUCCGAAGAUGAAUCAAAUGCUGAAUAAUGUUAAUAAUAUAAUUAUAAGUGCUCUGCCUGGAUCACUGGCUAUGUCUGAGUCCCCUUUUCUUGUAGGAUUUGAAAUAACGUGUGGAUCGUGGAGAGGAAAAAUGAACCAAGGCGAGCAAUGCAUGAGGAAAGAAGAUAGAACAAAGAAAAGAGUGAAUUAAUAUCUGUGCUUAAUUCACUUAGGGAAGAGCACCGAUUCAUUGUGAGCCCAGGAUUAAGGAGACUUGCAGACGUUUCCAUUAUACUGCCUGGAUUUUGACAUUAUGGAUACGGCACUGGUGACAAAGUCUUUUGUGCUAAAUGAUGCUUUGACCAAGUAGAUGUUCAGAUAAUCUCUGCCAGGAUGUACAAAUCACACUUUUACCGUGUGCUACUCCAAGGGAAGAACUGCUUAUGUUAUGUGUACUUAGCUAGCAUUUUGCAGAAAGAUUAAAGUGGUGUAGCCUCAGAGCUUUAUAGAUUAUUCUAUUUUUGGAAAAUACUGACAGAGUCACCACUAUCUGAUUUAAAAGUUUCAUAUUUUAAUGCAUCAGAAAUAUGUGUGCAAUGGGUGAGUAGAUAAUGUUUUAAAUUGCAAAUUGUAAAAUAUGAGUGAACUCUUAAACACCAUAAAAUCAGAAUCGUGAACGCAAGUUGCCGAGAAAUUGGAGACUCAAAGCUGACUACAGCUCUUUUGUCACAACUAAGUAACUACAAAUCAAACUUGAACCAUCUUCAACGUCUUGUGAGGUUUUCAGAUAUGACACCAUGAGGUCAAGAGAUAGAACUCUGUGUGCGUGUGCAUUUUCACUUUUAUGCACUUUGAGUUUGCUUUGUGCCAACUAAUUUAUUAGGUACAUCCCUUCUUUCUUAAUCCAGUACUAAGGAGGCACUAUAUUUUUAUAUAAAAAUAAUAGGCAUUAAGAACAAUAGCUUUGGGUUUUAACCUUUGCCCAAGCGGGAAAUACCUCAUUAGUUUUCAAGGAUUUUUCUUUUUGGAAAGCAUUACUGCAUGUGUUAACACGUAUAAGUGGUUUAAUAUCAGUUAGUUGGAAAGCUAGCUCUCUUAGUUGAUUUUUUUUCCAAGUUGACUUCACAGGUACAGUAAGGGGUCUUUGUAUUUCGGUUUACAUGCAGGAAGAUGACAAUGAGGUGACAAGAAGGCAUUAUUUAUAGCAUCAGUUCCUGGCCUGCUAAAAUUUGGCAAUUCAGUUAUGCCAACCACAUAAAGGGAUAGAUUUAGCAUAAAUACAAGUCUUAAAAUGAGAUCUUCUUUGCUGACAAGAUCAGAAGCUGCAACACUGUGACCACUGUGACAGAAUUUAAGUCUGUGAAAUAAAUUCAGAGUUUCUCUGUUGCUAAUCAUAGAAACAAUUUUCUGAAAUGCUUCUUUACAGUAAUCAUUCCUUUGAAUUUCUUUAACAUUUAGAAUGGACUGGAUGAAGCUCAGAUCCAAGUGGAGGAGAAGAAAUAUCUGGAUUUGAUCCCAAUUAGUACAUUAAAAUACCCAAGUAAGCACCUAUAAAAUGGGUACUAACAUAACUUGGGUUUUCUUUUUAAUAAUCAUAUAAUGUUAUUAAUGCUAUUUUUCCUGUUAUCGUGAGUCAUUAAUGUUAUCGGUGACAAUGAGGUAUAGCAUUUUAUUUCUGCAUAGUUAUAACACAAGUUAUUUAUUUGUCUGUAAUUUAUACAUAAGGCUUUGAAUGUGAAAAGAUAAAUUUACCAAGGACCAAUGAAGGUUCUUAUACCUGCAGAACACAAGUCAAUGAAGGAGGAAACCAUCAGUCAUCUCCUCCGAUACUGACCAAAUUUAUUUUUAAAAUGGAAGAGAGUCUCUCACAGUGAAGCCUCAGAAUUAAGUCAAACGUUUGGAAGUAAGGUCUUGUAUGAGGAGUGCUGGGCCAAAUUUUAUAUAUUACAGUCAGCGUAGGAAUAAUUUGGGGGGGAUUAGUCACUGGCUGUGAAAAUUAUCAGCCUUAUUCUAUGAUUUCUAGAUUUGUCUGAGCACCGAUGUCAUGAAAAGUUGUACUCUGC
Molecule: long non-coding RNA, 4532 nt
Filed under: Canis lupus familiaris (dog)
Lineage: Eukaryota; Metazoa; Chordata; Mammalia; Carnivora; Canidae
Description: lncRNA (ENSCAFG00000053232.1)
Source: RNAcentral